This 73-nucleotide transfer RNA is filed under the name Marmota monax (woodchuck). RNAcentral describes it as "tRNA.Ala". Lineage: Eukaryota; Metazoa; Chordata; Mammalia; Rodentia; Sciuridae. The record is from RNAcentral.
UGGGGUUGUGGCUCAGCAGUAGAGUGCUCACCUAGCACGUGCGAGGUGCUGGGUUUGAUCCUCAGCACCACAA